Non-coding RNA from Schizosaccharomyces pombe (fission yeast), 221 nucleotides. NCBI's taxonomy places the organism in Eukaryota, Fungi, Ascomycota, Schizosaccharomycetes, Schizosaccharomycetales, Schizosaccharomycetaceae. The record is from the annotation of a GenBank genome assembly.
UUUAUCGCAAGACACGCAGAUCGUUUUCCAGCAAAUAAAUUGCAUUUUAGCUUCAAAAAGCAAAGGAACGUCCAAAAUAACUAUGCUGUAACCCCGUACGUAACAUCGAAGCAGUUCUUUGAGCAUUUCCAAACGUACUGCUGGAUGUAUUAUUGAAUUCAAAAGUGACCUCUUUCCUGCGUCUUGAAAUACUGCCUGGCCAAGCUUUGCUCGAUUCAAAG